GACGAACGCUGGCGGCGUGCUUAACACAUGCAAGUCGAACGGAAAGGCCCUGCUUUUGUGGGGUGCUCGAGUGGCGAACGGGUGAGUAACACGUGAGUAACCUGCCCUUGACUUUGGGAUAACUUCAGGAAACUGGGGCUAAUACCGGAUAGGAGCUCCUGCUGCAUGGUGGGGGUUGGAUAGUUUCGGCGGUUGGGGAUGGACUCGCGGCUUAUCAGCUUGUUGGUGGGGUAGUGGCUUACCAAGGCUUUGACGGGUAGCCGGCCUGAGAGGGUGACCGGCCACAUUGGGACUGAGAUACGGCCCAGACUCCUGCGGGAGGCAGCAGUGGGGAAUAGUGCAAAAGGGGCGGAAGCCUGAUGCAGCAACGCCGCGUGCGGGAUGACGGCCUUCGGGUUGUAAACCGCUUUCGCCUGUGACGAAGCGUGAGUGACGGUAAUGGGUAAAGAAGCACCGGCUAACUACGUG
This 468-nucleotide ribosomal RNA is filed under the name uncultured bacterium. RNAcentral describes it as "partial 16S ribosomal RNA". It matches the Rfam family "Bacterial small subunit ribosomal RNA", at positions 28 to 507 of the family's 1533-position model. The record is from RNAcentral.